GAUUUCCUGGAGUGUUCGAUCACCCUGCAAUUUUGAACCUACAUUUCAUUUGACGGGAAAUUUGAUAUCGGGCAAUAUGUCAGGCCUCCGUUUGCAGUGGAAGACAGAAAGACCGACGAGAUUACCCACCUGGCGUUAGGCUAGGCGUCAAAUAGCGGGGAACGGCACCCUGGGACAUAC
This 180-nucleotide non-coding RNA is filed under the name Catenibacillus scindens. Its description in RNAcentral is "intestinal bacterium CG19-1 6S / SsrS RNA". It matches the Rfam family "6S / SsrS RNA". From Rfam's summary of the family: E. coli 6S RNA was the first non coding RNA to be sequenced, but its function was unknown until recently. It consists of 184 nucleotides that fold into an extended hairpin structure with a large single-stranded internal bulge. The 6S RNA specifically associates with RNA polymerase holoenzyme containing the sigma70 specificity factor. Lineage: Bacteria; Bacillati; Bacillota; Clostridia; Lachnospirales; Lachnospiraceae. The record is from Rfam by way of RNAcentral.